UGUUUGGUUUAAUUUAAAAUAAUUCACGUUUGAAAGCUCAAAGAUUGAUUCUUGGUUUAUGUUCUUCAAACCAUGGCACUGUCUAUGUCGUCGUGCAAUGUCGGAGAGAAAGUUAAAAAAAAUAAGGGAUUGCUCUAGGCUAGAUGCUGUCAAUGAUAUCCCCUCUUGUUUUCACGGUAGGUGUCUUCUGCACAUUCUUUUGCCUUUUCCUGCUUGAAAAGGUGAGCUGCAGGUUCAAGACUUGUUUUUGAAUGCAGUGUAUAUACUUCUAUUUUUGUGAUCAACUACAAGAAGCCUCAGUCACCCAUUGCCAAAUUUUGUAACUGUUGCACUGUUUUAGCAUAACUCUUAGUGAAGGUAACCUAGCUGCUGUUUUGCAAGUGUAACCUUCAAUCAUGGCUUGAUAUUUUCAUUUAGCAUCUCUGUGGCUAUAGUUGUACGAGUAAAUUUUGAGUUCCAUAAUUGUCUACAACCAUUGCUUGAAAUAUCUGAUGUGAAAUUUUCAGCUUAACAGCAACCAAUAAACUCCAAAAUAUCUGAAUCUAUAUACAUCAAUAUCAGUGUAAAUACUGCUUUUCAUGUGUAAAAUAGGGUUCUUUGAAUGAUGUCGAGCUGGACAAGUGGGAUUUGGCUAUUUUAUGCCGGUGCCCAAAAAUAUGUGUUAGAAGUGUCUGCAACGUAUUGUCGAGAUCUGAACAGAGGCUUUGAGUCCUGACAGCUCUGAAUUUGAACUGUAUAUUUUAAAGAGUGCAUGAGACUCCGCACUGUCCUCAAUAGGAGGGCCGAGGUGGUGGUUUUCGAAACACUGGUUGCAUUGGGGCUCUUGCCCAUGGGUAGCUUGUGGAAGUCCAUGGGACAUGCUUGGGUAAUGGUAAUGACAGUGCUGCUAAGGCCAGCAUAGAUGAAUAAGCAUAUAGCUGUACAAUGGCCUGUACAGCAGCAACAUAUGCCGGUUUGACUGUUAGCUGCUACUACAUUGUGCCAGCCAUUGAUGCCCCACAAAUUUUUUCAUGUAUGCUUGAGCACAUGUUAGGAUCAGUUCUAGACGGGAGGGGAGGGGAGGUGGGGACUAAAUUCUGUUCAUGUUGCAAAUAUUGGACAGAGAUGAGAGAAUGUGCGACAAUGAUCAGCGACAUAGCCUUGAGGGUUCAGUAGAGGAUCGGGUGACUUGCUCGGCAAACACAACGGAAUGCUGUGCAUCAGCCCCGAAGCUGGUCAAAUCUGCUUUUAGUGCAGGGUUAAUAACAAGGAGUACAAUCAGAAGAUGGGCAGACGAGCAUAUAGCAUUUUGCGCAACUACCGUCAAUGAAAAAAGAUACUUAAAAACCUUUGGGUGGGUAGGUGCCUCAAAUAAUUACCUCCCCCCACACAUAAACACACACACACAAAAAAAAAAGAAAAAAAAAGAAAGAAACAUAGAUACUCAAUAUUUCUGAAAUGCCAUAAUAAUCGGACUAUAUUAUGUGUAGUGCAGGACCGAGGCAUCUCUGUGUGGUCUCCAAUUACCCCUGUCUUAUGUUAGCCGAUUCCAAGUUAUAUCUCUGCAUUUCAGAGUGUCAUCAGACCAAUUAAACCUUUACCCUCCUUGA
RNAcentral lists this long non-coding RNA (1589 nucleotides) under Dermacentor andersoni. Its description in RNAcentral is "uncharacterized LOC126542787". The record is from RNAcentral. Lineage: Eukaryota; Metazoa; Arthropoda; Arachnida; Ixodida; Ixodidae.